Molecule: non-coding RNA, 110 nt
Organism: Fusarium poae
Lineage: Eukaryota; Fungi; Ascomycota; Sordariomycetes; Hypocreales; Nectriaceae
Source: the annotation of a RefSeq genome assembly
GGCCCCCUGGCUGAGUGGUUAAGCGCUUAGGUCUUCACGUUCGGCGCCGCCUACAUCUAUCAUCGUGUUGAACGCCCGAGAGACGCCAGGUUCAAAUCCUGGGGGGGCCC